RNAcentral lists this ribosomal RNA (1238 nucleotides) under metagenome. Its description in RNAcentral is "bacterial LSU rRNA". It matches the Rfam family "Bacterial large subunit ribosomal RNA", at positions 789 to 2012 of the family's 2925-position model. The record is from RNAcentral.
UUGAAAAGCCGGGGGAUGACUUGUGGAUAGGGGUGAAAGGCUAAUCAAACUCGGUGAUAGCUGGUUCUCCCCGAAAGCUAUUUAGGUAGCGCCUCGGACGAACACUUACGGGGGUAGAGCACUGUUUCGGCUAGGGGGUCAUCCCGACUUACCAAACCGAUGCAAACUCCGAAUACCGUAAAGUGUUAUCCGGGAGACAGACGGUGGGUGCUAAUGUCCAUCGUCAAGAGGGAAACAACCCAGACCGCCAGCUAAGGCCCCAAAAUUGUAGUUAAGUGGGAAACGAUGUGGGAAGGCAUAGACAGCUAGGAGGUUGGCUUAGAGGCAGCCAUCCUUUAAAGAAAGCGUAAUAGCUCACUAGUCGAGUCGGCCUGCGCGGAAGAUGUAACGGGGCUAAAACUACAUGCCGAAGCUGCGGAUGCCUAUUUUAUAGGCGUGGUAGGGGAGCGUUCUGUAAGUCUGCGAAGGUGUGUUGAGAAGCAUGCUGGAGAUAUCAGAAGUGCGAAUGCUGACGUGAGUAACGAUAAGGGGUGUGAAAAACAUCCCCGCCGGAAGACCAAGGGUUCCUGCUCAACGUUAAUCGGAGCAGGGUGAGUCGACCCCUAAGGCGAGGCUGAAAAGCGUAGUCGAUGGGAGAUAGGUUAAUAUUCCUAUACCUCUUACUGAUGCGAUGGAGGGACGGAGAAGGCUAGGUUUACCAGCGAUUGGUAGUGCUGGGGAAAGGUUGUAGGCAUGUAUCUUAGGCAAAUCCGGGAUACUUUAUGCUGAGAACUGAGACGAACCCAUACUUGUAUGGGGAAGUAACUGAUGCCAUGCUUCCAAGAAAAGCUUCUAAGCUUCAGUCAGUAAGGGAUCGUACCCGAAACCGACACAGGUGGUCAGGUCGAGAAGACUAAGGCGCUUGAGAGAACUCUGGUGAAGGAACUAGGCAAAAUAGUACCGUAACUUCGGGAGAAGGUACGCUGUUGAUGGUGAAGGAUUUACUCCGUAAGCUAUCGGCAGCCUCAGAAACUAGGCCGCUGCAACUGUUUAUUAAAAACACAGCACUCUGCAAACACGAAAGUGGACGUAUAGGGUGUGAUGCCUGCCCGGUGCUGGAAGGUUAAUUGAUGGGGUUAGCGAAAGCGAAGCUCUUGAUCGAAGCCCCAGUAAACGGCGGCCGUAACAAUAACGGUCCUAAGGUAGCGAAAUUCCUUGUCGGGUAAGUUCCGACCUGCACGAAUGGCAUAAUGAUGGCG